AUCCAGCUGACGAGUGCCAAACAGGACGAAACACGCGUCCUGGAU
This 45-nucleotide non-coding RNA is filed under the name Schistosoma haematobium. The record is from RNAcentral. Lineage: Eukaryota; Metazoa; Platyhelminthes; Trematoda; Strigeidida; Schistosomatidae.